GAUGAACGCUGGCGGCGUGCCUAAUACAUGCAAGUCGAGCGAACAGACGAGGAGCUUGCUCCUCUGACGUUAGCGGCGGACGGGUGAGUAACACGUGGAUAACCUACCUAUAAGACUGGGAUAACUUCGGGAAACCGGAGCUAAUACCGGAUAAUAUAUUGAACCGCAUGGUUCAAUAGUGAAAGACGGUUUUGCUGUCACUUAUAGAUGGAUCCGCGCCGCAUUAGCUAGUUGGUAAGGUAACGGCUUACCAAGGCACCGAUGCGUAGCCGACCUGAGAGGGUGAUCGGCCACACUGGAACUGAGACACGGUCCAGACUCCUACGGGAGGCAGCAGUAGGGAAUCUUCCGCAAUGGGCGAAAGCCUGACGGAGCAACGCCGCGUGAGUGAUGAAGGUCUUCGGAUCGUAAAACUCUGUUAUUAGGGAAGAACAAAUGUGUAAGUAACUAUGCCCGUCUUGACGGUACCUAAUCAGAAAGCCACGGCUAACUACGUG
RNAcentral lists this ribosomal RNA (497 nucleotides) under uncultured bacterium. RNAcentral describes it as "partial 16S ribosomal RNA". It matches the Rfam family "Bacterial small subunit ribosomal RNA", at positions 28 to 507 of the family's 1533-position model. The record is from RNAcentral.